AAGUCGGUUGUGAAAGCCUUCCGCUCAACGGAAGAACGGCAUCCGAUACUGCAUGGCUUGAGUGUGGGAGGGGAGAGUGGAACUUCUGGUGGAGCGGUGAAAUGCGUAGAUAUCAGAAGGAACACCGGCGGCGAAGGCGACUCUCUGGUCCAUAACCGACGCUGAGUGUGCGAAAGCUAGGGGAGCAAACGGGAUUAGAUACCCCGGUAGUCCUAGCCGUAAACGAU
Molecule: ribosomal RNA, 227 nt
Filed under: uncultured bacterium
Lineage: Bacteria
Description: partial 16S ribosomal RNA
Rfam family: Bacterial small subunit ribosomal RNA
Source: RNAcentral